UACGGGGGGGGCAAGCGUUGUUCGGAAUUACUGGGCGUAAAGGGCUCGUAGGCGGCCAACUAAGUCAGACGUGAAAUCCCUCGGCUUAACCGGGGAACUGCGUCUGAUACUGGAUGGCUUGAGAUUGGGUGAGGGAUGCGGAAUUCCAGGUGUAGCGGUGAAAUGCGUAGAUAUCUGGAGGAACACCGGUGGCGAAGGCGGCAUCCUGGACCAACACUGACGCUGAGGAGCGAAAGCCAGGGGAGCAAACGGG
This 253-nucleotide ribosomal RNA is filed under the name uncultured bacterium. RNAcentral describes it as "partial 16S ribosomal RNA". It matches the Rfam family "Bacterial small subunit ribosomal RNA", at positions 524 to 776 of the family's 1533-position model. The record is from RNAcentral.